GAUGAACGCUGGCGGCGUGCUUAACACAUGCAAGUCGAACGAGAAAUGGAGACGGAAACCUUCGGGCGGAAGGCUUCAUUUCGAGUGGCGGACGGGUGAGUAACGCGUGGGUAACCUGCCUCAUACAGGGGGAUAACAGUUGGAAACGACUGUUAAUACCGCAUAAGACCACAGCACCGCAUGGCGCGGGGGUAAAAACUCCGGUGGUAUGAGAUGGACCCGCGUUCGAUUAGCCAGUUGGCGGGGUAACGGCCCACCAAAGCGACGAUCGAUAGCCGAUCUGAGAGGAUGACCGGCCACAUUGGGACUGAGACACGGCCCAAACUCCUACGGGAGGCAGCAGUGGGGAAUAUUGCACAAUGGGGGAAACCCUGAUGCAGCGACGCCGCGUGAGUGAAGAAGUACUUCGGUAUGUAAAGCUCUAUCAGCAGGGAAGAAAAUGACGGUACCUGAGUAAGAAGCCCCGGCUAACUACGU
RNAcentral lists this ribosomal RNA (477 nucleotides) under uncultured bacterium. RNAcentral's name for it is "partial 16S ribosomal RNA". It matches the Rfam family "Bacterial small subunit ribosomal RNA", at positions 28 to 506 of the family's 1533-position model. The record is from RNAcentral.